AAGGAAUAUUGGUCAAUGGAGGCAACUCUGAACCAGCCAUGCCGCGUGCAGGAAGACUGCCCUAUGGGUUGUAAACUGCUUUUAUUCGGGAAUAAACCUAUUUACGUGUAGAUAGCUGAAUGUACCGAAGGAAUAAGGAUCGGCUAACUCCGUGCCAGCAGCCGCGGUAAUACGGAGGAUCCAAGCGUUAUCCGGAUUUAUUGGGUUUAAAGGGUGCGUAGGCGGCCUGUUAAGUCAGGGGUGAAAGACGGUAGCUCAACUAUCGCAGUGCCCUUGAUACUGAUGGGCUUGAAUGGACUAGAGGUAGGCGGAAUGAGACAAGUAGCGGUGAAAUGCAUAGAUAUGUCUCAGAACACCGAUUGCGAAGGCAGCUUACUAUGGUCUUAUUGACGCUGAGGCACGAAAGCGUGGGGAUCAAAC
This 420-nucleotide ribosomal RNA is filed under the name uncultured bacterium. RNAcentral describes it as "bacterial SSU rRNA". It matches the Rfam family "Bacterial small subunit ribosomal RNA", at positions 356 to 773 of the family's 1533-position model. The record is from RNAcentral.